GCCUUUUAGUCAUUAUCAUUAUACACAAGUUCUAGCUCAUAGAGUUUAUUUAUUAAACAAAUAUAUUUAUAAAUCAUUAGUGAUCAUUCAUUUGGUCUAUCUUUAUAUUAAGAAAAACACAUCAGUGCUCUAGCUAGAAAUCAAAAGGGGCAGGGUGCCAGUGGAGGGCAGGGCACUUUUUAUGAUAAGAAAAGGCACUGCUCAUUUUUUUGUCUACGUUUCUGUGUGUAUCACGAGUUAACGAAUCUCUUUUUUUUUUUACUGUAUAUGUUGUUUUUUUUAAAUAAAGAUGCUUUUCAACUAUAGUCUUUAUUUAAUUGUUUGUGUAGUUAUGAAUGAUAUAGCAGGGCUCACACUACUUCAGAAUUAUAGGGAGAAGUGACUUCUCUUUUUGAAACUGAUAGGGAGAAGUGGUGAGAUUUGAAAGAGAAGUGCUCAUUCGCGCGGGUGCGCUACAAUGUUUGGAUUUUACAAUAGUAUAAAGGGCCAUAUGUAAAUAAUGUUCUUUUUAUGUUGUUCAAUUCAUAUGAGUAAAAAAUUACAAUUAAAGUAACAUUUGAAAUUAAAAGUUGUUUAAGUUUUACUAAGGUUCUUGUGAGAAACUACCAACUAAAUAUCUAGCACUAAAAAAAAAA
Molecule: long non-coding RNA, 635 nt
Filed under: Mytilus galloprovincialis (Mediterranean mussel)
Lineage: Eukaryota; Metazoa; Mollusca; Bivalvia; Mytilida; Mytilidae
Source: RNAcentral